GCGGGCGUGGUGGAAAUGGUAGACACGCUAGAUUCAGGUUCUAGUGGGCGUUAGCCCGUGGGGGUUCGAGUCCCUCCGCCCGCACCA
This 87-nucleotide transfer RNA is filed under the name bacterium HR15. RNAcentral describes it as "tRNA-Leu". It matches the Rfam family "tRNA". From Rfam's summary of the family: Transfer RNA (tRNA) molecules are approximately 80 nucleotides in length. Their secondary structure includes four short double-helical elements and three loops (D, anti-codon, and T loops). Further hydrogen bonds mediate the characteristic L-shaped molecular structure. tRNAs have two regions of fundamental functional importance: the anti-codon, which is responsible for specific mRNA codon recognition, and the 3' end, to which the tRNAs corresponding amino acid is attached (by aminoacyl-tRNA synthetases). tRNAs cope with the degeneracy of the genetic code in two manners: having more than one tRNA (with a specific anti-codon) for a particular amino acid; and 'wobble' base-pairing, i.e. permitting non-standard base-pairing at the 3rd anti-codon position. The record is from RNAcentral.